Molecule: long non-coding RNA, 287 nt
Filed under: Vitis vinifera (wine grape)
Lineage: Eukaryota; Viridiplantae; Streptophyta; Magnoliopsida; Vitales; Vitaceae
Description: long non-coding RNA (VVIN_LNC005423)
Source: RNAcentral
GAGACUACAAAACAUUUAUUUGCAUAGGCUAUAACAAUUAAUCUAAAUCAUAAAAACAGUGCACACGUAACCAUAAAGCCAAUUUGCAUCUAGUGAUAAAAGCAAAUUAAAGGUACAACUAAAAAUAGAAAGUGUUGUUUCUUUUCAUCUUUAAUUCAAUGCUUUUCUUUCUUAUAUGAUUUAGUUCAAUUAUGAUGAAAGACAUAUAAUAGAGUUCAUUAUGAUUCUAUGUGAAAUCAUACUAUCAAAACUAGUUGACCUUAGCUACAUUUGUGCCCUAUACUGCU